Molecule: ribosomal RNA, 254 nt
Filed under: uncultured bacterium
Lineage: Bacteria
Description: partial 16S ribosomal RNA
Rfam family: Bacterial small subunit ribosomal RNA
Source: RNAcentral
UACGAAGGGGGCUAGCGUUGCUCGGAAUCACUGGGCGUAAAGCGCACGUAGGCGGCUUGUUAAGUCAGGGGUGAAAUCCUGGAGCUCAACUCCAGAACUGCCUUUGAUACUGGCAAGCUUGGAGUCCGGGAGAGGUGAGUGGAACUGCGAGUGUAGAGGUGAAAUUCGUAGAUAUUCGCAAGAACACCAGUGGCGAAGGCGGCUCACUGGCCCGGUACUGACGCUGAGGUGCGAAAGCGUGGGGAGCAAACAGG